Transfer RNA from Ovis aries (sheep), 73 nucleotides. It matches the Rfam family "tRNA". Rfam says of the family: Transfer RNA (tRNA) molecules are approximately 80 nucleotides in length. The record is from Rfam. Lineage: Eukaryota; Metazoa; Chordata; Mammalia; Artiodactyla; Bovidae.
UCCCUGGUGGCCCAGUGGCUAAGACUCUGUGCUCCCAAUGCAGGGGGCCUGGGUUCAAUCCCUGGUCAGGGAA